Molecule: ribosomal RNA, 424 nt
Filed under: uncultured prokaryote
Description: bacterial SSU rRNA
Rfam family: Bacterial small subunit ribosomal RNA
Source: RNAcentral
UGGGGAAUAUUGGACAAUGGGCGCAAGCCUGAUCCAGCCAUGCCGCGUGGGUGAAGAAGGCCUUAGGGUUGUAAACCCCUUUCACCGGUGACGAUGAUGACGGUAGCCGGAGAAGAAGCCCCGGCUAACUCCGUGCCAGCAGCCGCGGUAAUACGGAGGGGGCAAGCGUUGUUCGGAAUUACUGGGCGUAAAGCGCGUGUAGGCGGUUCGUUAAGUCGACUGUGAAAGCCCAUGGCUCAACCAUGGAAGUGCAGUCGAUACUGGCAGACUGGAGUCCCGGAGAGGGUGGUGGAAUUCCCAGUGUAGAGGUGAAAUUCGUAGAUAUUGGGAGGAACACCGGUGGCGAAGGCGACCACCUGGACGGGUACUGACGCUGAGACGCGAAAGCGUGGGGAGCAAACAGGAUUAGAUACCCCCGUAGUCC